UCACUCAAUUUCAUCUCAAACCCACUUUACUUGUGGUUGUGUAUAGUGAUAAGAGAUAUCAACUAAAAUGAGUGGUGGGAAGGGUUCGAUUUUUUUGGCUUUCUUCUUCUUUCUCCUUGUCUCCUCCGAGUUGGCUGCAGCCAGGAAGCUAAUGGUGGCCGAAAAAAAUGCAGCGACCAUACAUGAAGACCCCACCGUUUUCAGCAGCCCCGGCACACAAAACCCCGACAUGCAAAAUUGCUAUUGUUAUGGUGAUUGCAACACUUGCCUAACCCCGGUUUGCGAUCCUUAUACACAAAACUGCCCUCCGAAGAACUGAAGUGGACACUAAGAUCAAACCCCAUGGGAACUAAAUAAACUAACCCACACCUACGUGGGUUUUGAUUACUAUCUAUCUUACCUUUGUAGUGUGUAUUGAAUCCUAUUUAUAUGGUUAUAAGUUUGGGAGAUUUGUGUUUUAUGCAGAGGAUGCGCGAUAUAAUUCGUAACUCGAUCAAUUUAUACCAUCGGUCAGUUUCUAUCUAAAAAACGUUAAUUUAUAUGUGCAAAAUUUUUUUAACAAUUGACCCACAUUCAAUUAAAUUGAUAAAAUUGUUUUUAUAUUAAUCUUUAGGACGCUUUCUUCACUUAUAACAUAAGCUCAAUACAUUCUAACAAUGACAUAUUUAGUAAACGUCCAUGGUCAUAGGUGUUAGUUCUCCACAACUUCUAGACUCUAUGGCCGAGGUGGGAUACUUCAUAGUACAUGUGUGUGUCAUGGUGUGUGUGAGUGUUGUAAGAUAAGUGUUUGAGUAUCUUCCUUUGAAAAUGAGUUUCAAAGCAUAGUGUCCAGCGACACGAGUGUGCUAAUAUUGUGUCUCGUCCCUUGAAUCGAAGGUUGGUAUAUAUUGUUGUUAUCUCGCAUGAUUUGUAGAAAUGACUCGACAUGUAUAUGGGAGGGUUCAUGUCUCAAUAAUUUUUGGGUGGAGAAAUAAUGGAGAUGUCUCAAUGAUAAAAAUUCUCAUAGGAUUAGUUCUUGACAAGCGUGCUCGAGUGAGCAACAAAGAUCAAUGAUAUUUCAAGGCUCGGGAUGACAUCACGAAGUAUCGAUGAGACUCGAAAGUUUUUGGUUAAUAACUGUAUGAGUUGAUAUGUCUUAAUAGACAUUGUAAUGCUUUGAUAAGCUCCAAAUUGCAUCAACAUGCCAUGAUAAACGUUAUGAUGUUUCAAAAAGGUUUAGUAAGUGCUAAUAUCACUCAAUAAGCUCUAGUUGAGUAGUUUUAGCCAGUUUUGACCAAACGAAGGAUCGAAAAUCAUCUCGACAAAAAACUUGAUCUAUGUAGAAGCAUGUGAGCCAUGUUGUUAAGAACUAUACUUCAAAUUUUCGGUGGUUAAGGUGUAUACGAUAGAAAUAACAUGUCCCUCAACCCUGGCCUAUAAAAACACAUUGGGAUGAGGAACCAAUCACUCAAGUUCACCUCAAACCCACCAUAGUUGUUGUUGAGUAUAGUGAUAAGAGAUAUCAACUAAAAUGAGUGGUCGGAAGGUUUCAGUUUUUUUGGCUUUCUUGCUCUUCUUUUUCCUCGUCUCCUCAGAGUUGGGUGCAGCCAGGAAGCUAAUGGUGGCCGGAAAAAAUGCAGCGGUUAAUCCCCGCACACAAGACUCCUACGACCCCUAUUGCGAUCGUUACAGUUAUAGGAGUUGCCUCCCACAGCCCUGCAAUCCUUCUGUAGAAUACUGCCCUCCCAAGAACUGAAGUGGAAACUAAGAUCAAACAUGGAAACUAAAUAAAGUAACCCACACCUACGUGGAUUUUAAUUACUAUCUAUCUUGCCUUUGUUGUGUGUAUUGAAUCCUAUGUAUAUGGUUAUAAGUUUGGGAGAUUUGUGUUUUAUGCCUAGGAUGUGCGAUAUGAUAUAAUUCGUAACUCGUAACUCGAUCAAUUUAUACCACAUGUUAGAUUUUAUCUU
This is a long non-coding RNA of Cucurbita maxima (winter squash), 1949 nucleotides long. RefSeq lists it as uncharacterized. The transcript is spliced from 3 exons. NCBI's taxonomy places the organism in Eukaryota, Viridiplantae, Streptophyta, Magnoliopsida, Cucurbitales, Cucurbitaceae. The record is from RefSeq and is a predicted model, not a curated record.